Molecule: long non-coding RNA, 365 nt
Filed under: Medicago truncatula (barrel medic)
Lineage: Eukaryota; Viridiplantae; Streptophyta; Magnoliopsida; Fabales; Fabaceae
Description: long non-coding RNA (MTRU_LNC006130)
Source: RNAcentral
AUUAAAAAGGCUAGGCUUAGGCUUUUUAAAAAGCCUAUUUAAGUAAAUAGGCCAGGCUUAGGCUAUCAAAAAAGCCUAUGAAGCCUAAUAGGCCGGCCUGUUUAUGCAUGUUAGGCUUUAUAGUGGACUUUUUAAAUAGGCUUUAAAGCAUUAUAGUGAAAUAGGCUUUUAAGGCCUUAUAGUGAUAGACAAGUCUUACACUCAAAUAGGCUUUGAGGCCUAUUAAACCUAUUUAAAAGUAGAUAAAAUGGAAUGUUUAGUGAGGCCUAUUAAACCUAUUUAAAAGUAGGCCUGUAAAUAGGCUUUCAGGCCAGGCCAGGCUUUUAAAUAGGCCAGGCCAGGCCAAAAAAAUAGGCCUAUGAAAG